GAUGAACGCUAGCGGCAGGCUUAACACAUGCAAGUCGAGGGGCAGCAUAGAGUAGCAAUACUUUGAUGGCGACCGGCGGACGGGUGCGUAACGCGUAUGCAACCUACCCUUUACAGGGGGAUAACACUGAGAAAUUGGUACUAAUACCGCAUAAUGCAUCAAUUUCGCAUGUUAUUGAUGCCAAAGGAGCAAUCCGCCUUUAGAUGAGCUCGCGUCUGAUUAGCUAGUUGGUGGGGUAACGGCCCACCAAGGCGGCGAUCAGUAGCCGGUCUGAGAGGAUGAACGGCCACAUUGGGACUGAGAUACGGCCCAG
Molecule: ribosomal RNA, 313 nt
Filed under: uncultured bacterium
Lineage: Bacteria
Description: bacterial SSU rRNA
Rfam family: Bacterial small subunit ribosomal RNA
Source: RNAcentral